RNAcentral lists this ribosomal RNA (253 nucleotides) under uncultured bacterium. Its description in RNAcentral is "partial 16S ribosomal RNA". It matches the Rfam family "Bacterial small subunit ribosomal RNA", at positions 524 to 776 of the family's 1533-position model. The record is from RNAcentral.
UACAGAGGGUGCAAGCGUUGUUCGGAAUUACUGGGCGUAAAGCGCGUGUAGGCGGUCUGAUAAGUCGGUCGUGAAAGCCCUUGGCUUAACCAAGGAACUGCGAUCGAAACUGCCGGACUAGAGUAUCGGAGGGGGUGGCGGAAUUCCCGGUGUAGUGGUGAAAUGCGUAGAUAUCGGGAGGAACACCAGUGGCGAAGGCGACUUCCUGGCCUGUUCUUGACGCUGAGGCGCGAAAGCUAGGGGAGCAAACGGG